UAAUAAAUUUGGCGGUAUUUUAAUCUAUCCAGAGGAACUUGUUUUAUAAUUGAUAAUCCUCAUUAUAUCUUACUUAAUUUAUUUAAUUUGUAUACCGUCGUCAUAAGAAUCUCUUAAAAAAGAAAAAAUUUUCUAAAAUUUUUAUUAAUAAUAAUGUCAGAUCAAGGUGCAGUUUAUAAUUAAGAAAAAAUGAGUUACAAUAAAAUUAUUUAUAACGGUUUUAAAAAUUAAAAUUUUUAUUUAAGGUGGAUUUGGUAGUAAAAUAAAAAAUUAAAUUUAUUUGAUUUUAGUUCUAAAAUAUGCACAAAUC
RNAcentral lists this ribosomal RNA (310 nucleotides) under Boletina nasuta. RNAcentral's name for it is "partial 12S ribosomal RNA". The record is from RNAcentral. Lineage: Eukaryota; Metazoa; Arthropoda; Insecta; Diptera; Mycetophilidae.